RNAcentral lists this ribosomal RNA (229 nucleotides) under uncultured bacterium. RNAcentral describes it as "partial 16S ribosomal RNA". It matches the Rfam family "Bacterial small subunit ribosomal RNA", at positions 568 to 796 of the family's 1533-position model. The record is from RNAcentral.
UGCGUAGGCGGGCUAAUAAGUCAGUGGUGAAAUCUCUCGGCUCAACCGGGAAACUGCCAUUGAUACUGUUAGUCUUGAGUUCGGCUGAGGUAGGCGGAAUGUGUAAUGUAGCGGUGAAAUGCUUAGAUAUUACACAGAACACCAAUUGCGUAGGCAGCUUACUAGACCGACACUGACGCUGAGGCACGAAAGCGUGGGGAGCGAACAGGAUUAGAUACCCUGGUAGUCC